GGCUGAAAUUGCCUACCAUGAAGUUGGAAUUGCUAGUAAUGGCAGGUCAGCAUACUGCCGUGAAUACGUUCCCGGGCCCUUGUACACACCGCCCGUCACACCAUGAGAGUUGGAGAUACCCGAAGCCUGUGAGCUAACUUUUUAAGAGGCAGCAGUCGAAGGUAGAAUCAAUGAUUGGGGUGAAGUCGUAACAAGGUACC
Molecule: ribosomal RNA, 200 nt
Filed under: uncultured bacterium
Lineage: Bacteria
Description: partial 16S ribosomal RNA
Rfam family: Bacterial small subunit ribosomal RNA
Source: RNAcentral